Molecule: long non-coding RNA, 2108 nt
Filed under: Brassica rapa (field mustard)
Lineage: Eukaryota; Viridiplantae; Streptophyta; Magnoliopsida; Brassicales; Brassicaceae
Description: long non-coding RNA (BRAP_LNC005052)
Source: RNAcentral
AAAUGCCUUCGAGAUUCUCACGACAAAAAUUGAGAAGAUAGUGGCAAAUAUAUUCCAAAAUUUUCACUAUUCUCAAGAGAAAUGACACAGAAAACUCCAAGAUUCACAAGCUUCUCAAUUAUCAUCUCUAUAAAUACCAUAGAAUUCCAUGUUUUUGGUAUUCCUACUAAUGUUUUCUUUUUUAUAUCAUUAAUUUAUGCUUUUGAAAAAAUCGCAAUUCUAUUAAACUGUUACUAAAUUUUAUCUCCUCCUAUCUUUUGAUGUUUCUUCUGAUUUUCAGGAAUAUUUGGGCUGGCCUUGUUCUAUGAUCCUGAUUGUGAAAUCUCUUUGAUCUAUUAAUGUAUUUCAUGAUUUUAUGUUUAGUCCAUCUCUUCUUAGAUGAUUUCCACGAAGUACGUUUAAAUCUUUGUUACAGAUGAGAUUUAGAUAUUCAAGGUGUUGGAUACUCCUAGUUAUAUGGCUUUCUGCAUGGUAAGCUACCUAGUCUCUAACAAAAGUUAGGACUUGGGGUAAUUUGGUAGGAUGAUGAAUUUGUUUAAGAACUUUGGGCUUAUGGUUACUUUAUUUGUUCUCUUGAUUGAAUUUACUUAUGGUUCUUGAUAAGGUUUGUGAAUUCUCUUGGUAUGGGUUGGUGAUUUGGAACAAUGCUGGGACGAGAGUAAUUAAUGCAUGCAUGGUAAUGAAUAUUUUUAAGAAAGUUAUUCAACAUUUCUUAGGACCUAAGUUAAGCAUGGGUCUCCACAUUUUUGUAACCUUGUUAAAACUUAGGGACCAUAUUUCUGUUGUAUAAACUUGAGUUGCAAGUUUUCUUUUCCUUAUUUGAGUUAUGAUUAUCUAAAAGAUUAGGAAAUAUGAAUUUUGUUAAUGAUAUUCAGAUUAGAAAGUUAUCUAGUCCUAUAUACGAAGAUGCAUAAUGUAUAAUUUGUGAUUUGUGAACUUUAGUUUUUGAAAUAAUAUUCUAAAGCUAAUAAGAAAAAGUGUUUCUUAUAUUGAUUCUUGCCUUCUAUAAUUUCUAGAAAAAUAUCCAUCGGCUCAGUUGGUAGAAGCCAUCGAAAGAGUUUAUCAGGUUGUGUGAGUCGACAGCUCCUUGCAUCUAUGGAAAUGGAAUAUCGUGCCGUUUGCCAAUUAAUUAUUACUAUGUUAUAUGAAACCCACGCUACAAAUAAUUAUGUCCUUUAUAGUAAUUUUUGAGAUAGUUUCAUUUUAACAAAGCAACUUUUAUAUAAUUGUAUAAUCUAAAUUUAAUCAUUUCAUAUUAUUCUAUAAGGAAUAACAUAUAUUCAUGAAUUAAGUAUUCUGAGUUUGUUUGCCCAAAAAGAAUUUAGAAUAUUGUUUCAAAAAAAAUAUUAUAGUUUUUUUUUAAUAUUUGAAAAUGCAAUUUAUAAUUAAUUUAUAUGUAACUACAUUAACCAGAAUUUAAAUUGUUAACCAGUUUAUUGAUCCAUUUGACAACAUUUUAGUUUAUUAUAAUAAUUAAUAGUUAAAAUGGGCUAACCUAACCUUUUAACCGUUUUUUAGCUAUCAAUACUUUUUUUAUUUCUAAGCGACAAAAGAUCAUUCUAUUAUUCAUGAUUGAGGUGGUCUAGGUAGUCUAUGUAACCAGACUGAAAUAGAAUAUCCAACAAAAUAAAGAACCAUACGAAAAGUUCAAGCGCUUCUAACUAAGUGAUCUGCAAUUCUAUUUUAUUCUUGACGAGUAUCAUAUUCUGAAAUCUAUCUUCAAUUCUUCUAUGACCUUCAACUCUGUUGAAAAAAUUAGCUAUAUAUGCGGUUUCCCUAACAUCUUUAUCCCGUCUUUGAACUUCAUCCCAGAGUAUUGACAUGUCGAAUAGUGCAACAUGCUUUCCAUUGCCCAUUGUAGAAAUGAUGAUUUUCGUCUUUGAUUCCUUAUACGCAUAAGCUGUGUCCUUUCAUUGAUAUAUUUCCACAUCUUUUCACAUCCAUUAAAAUCAAUAUAAGGAUCUAAGCAGCUGUCAGUAUUCAUUUUUAAUAUAUUCAUGAUUAAAAAAUAUAUUUAUUUAUCCAUUUAACCCGUAAAAUUUAUGCACAUUCAACGAAAUAACCAUUAAAAACUUGCAAACCAUAAAACAUCAACUUUACAAUAUCAC